CCAAAGGCACAAUCAAAAAUCGCCCACGACGGCGGGCCACAUCCAAACCACCCUAAAUUAUCACCUUUCUUAUUCCCAAUCUCCAGUCCAUCUCUCCUAAAAACCCUUCAAUCUCGUCAUUUAGUAAAUCUAGGAAUUUCAAAAAACUUUGCCUCUUUUUUGAUUUCUCUUGAUGAGAGCAAUCGAUGGACGUUAGUUUUGGUUCAUUUUAUAGCCACCAGAACCCGGUCAAAUCCCGUUGACUGGCGAGUUUUCUCUCCAAUUGCUCCAUUUUUGUUUCUUUGAUCUGUCCAAGUCCAAUAUGUAUGAUUCUCAUCUCGUUUCUUUAAGUUUCAGUUGCAUCCCCAUUCCCGUCUCUCUUUUACUCUAUCUCUGUCAAGAAAGCAUGUUUGGUGCUCAACUUGUUUGAUGUUAAUUUUUACAAUAGGCUAUUUAGUUUCUCAAAUUCGCAAUUAGCUUCCUAUUUUCAAGAUUGAACACCUCAGGAUUUCAUAUAGAGAUCAAAUGUUUUGGUAAUUAAUAAGCAUGUUGUGUUCAUCAUUAUUUGUUGGAUUUAACCGGUUUCUAUGGUCACAUAAUAAUUGUUUCAAUGGUUUAGUCUUGUUGUUGAGUUUUUCUAUCUUUUUUUAUUAUUAUUUCGUUUUGAGUUUGUUAUGUUCUUUAGUUGGAUUGAAGCUUGAUAUUGAAAGCCAUUUGUCCUAGGCUUAGGGUGCAAAUGGAUGGUAAAUAACAGAGGUUCUUGGGCGUAGUUGGGGGAAUAGAUUUAGGGAAUCUCUCAAUUAAUUUCCAUUGGUAAUAAAUCAAGUAAAAGGGGUCGGGUAUUACGGGCGUGAGAGGUAAAAAGCAGAAAAUAAAAGGAUUAGAAAGAAAAAAAAAUAACUUAAAGCAGCCUUAGAAUCUGUUAUAAAAAGAGCACCACUCUUCACACUUUAGGGGGCAUUCAUUCAUAGCAUUCAUAAGCAGCUUGAAAAAAAACUCUGCAAUACAAAAGUCAAAUCUAAAAACAAUUCAAAAAAGGCUUCAAACAAAAACCAAAAAAAAAAAAAAGCAAAUUAGGAUUUCAAGGAAUUGCUUCAAUUUAUGUUGGUUUGGCUACGAUUUUCUGGGUUGUUGAAGAAUAUUUUAAGUUUCGAAAGGCUUGAUUUGUUGUUGUUAUCCCUGCUGUUAGCUGAUCUCCAUCCUUCUUUCCUUAUGCCUUUAUUUGGCUGUUGUCAUUUUAUUUUCUCCGCACACAGAAUCCGUGUACUCAUGUUUGAUAUAUAAGAGUGAUUUCUCAAGUUAUCUCUUAACGUGUUGAAUGAAUUCUGUUGAGCCUGAUGUUUUGUUUCUAUGUGUUAUGAAAUGUUCUCUUAGUGUUCAAUUGUUUUUGGUCAGAACUGGUUAAAAACCUUACACUCAUGAAUUGUUACAUAAUUAGUCAAAAUUCAUCAGUUAAAAUAGCAUGUGAUAGAAUCUACAUAUUUCUCUACAUAUUAAUUCAGAUCUGGAAAUUUCAGUAGUUGAUUCAUGCAUAACUUUAGACUUAAAUAUAGGCUACGGGUUAGAUAUUGUGACUGCAAAAGUGUUGAUUCUGAGUAUUUCCAAAUUGUGUCCAAAUCAUUCUGACGAACACAUCCAGCGAGAGAUCUUCAUUUUUGGAAGGCUAACCAUUUUGUGGGUCAAAUCCAUGAGUUAGAAAAUAGGACAGACCUGAUAGGCACUGUUUGUACAUUUAAUGAACAACUGCUAUAAGAGUUUCAACUAAUUUGUUACAUGUUAUGGUUAAUGCAAUUUAGAAGUAGCUUGUUACUAUUGUAUUCAUAAAUAUGGCAGUUUUGUUUAGUGAAUUCAUUGAUAAGGCCUGUAAUAGCUAUAUCUCUUAAUAUUCAAACUAUAACCAAGACGCGUUAAUU
This 1892-nucleotide long non-coding RNA is filed under the name Nicotiana tabacum (common tobacco). Its description in RNAcentral is "long non-coding RNA (NTAB_LNC003345)". The record is from RNAcentral. Lineage: Eukaryota; Viridiplantae; Streptophyta; Magnoliopsida; Solanales; Solanaceae.